Molecule: small nuclear RNA, 107 nt
Organism: Apodemus sylvaticus (European woodmouse)
Lineage: Eukaryota; Metazoa; Chordata; Mammalia; Rodentia; Muridae
Source: RefSeq, a predicted model, not a curated record
GUGCUUGGUUCGGCAGCACAUAUACUAAAAUUGGAACAAUACAGAGAAGAUUAGCCUGGCUCCUGCACAAAAAUGACAUGCAAAUUUGUGAAGCGUUCCAUAUUUUU